RNAcentral lists this ribosomal RNA (496 nucleotides) under uncultured bacterium. RNAcentral describes it as "partial 16S ribosomal RNA". It matches the Rfam family "Bacterial small subunit ribosomal RNA", at positions 28 to 507 of the family's 1533-position model. The record is from RNAcentral.
GAUGAACGCUGGCGGCGUGCCUAAUACAUGCAAGUCGAGCGAACAGACGAGGAGCUUGCUCCUCUGAUGUUAGCGGCGGACGGGUGAGUACACGUGGAUAACCUACCUAUAAGACUGGGAUAACUUCGGGAAACCGGAGCUAAUACCGGAUAACAUGUUGAACCGCAUGGUUCCAACGUGAAAGACGGUCUUGCUGUCACUUAUAGAUGGAUCCGCGCCGCAUUAGCUAGUUGGUAAGGUAACGGCUUACCAAGGCAACGAUGCGUAGCCGACCUGAGAGGGUGAUCGGCCACACUGGAACUGAGACACGGUCCAGACUCCUACGGGAGGCAGCAGUAGGGAAUCUUCCGCAAUGGGCGAAAGCCUGACGGAGCAACGCCGCGUGAGUGAAGAAGGUCUUCGGAUCGUAAAACUCUGUUAUUAGGGAAGAACAAAUGUGUAAGUAACUAUGCACGUCUUGACGGUACCUAAUCAGAAAGCCACGGCUAACUACGUG